This 498-nucleotide ribosomal RNA is filed under the name Metaphire sp. SC201003-02. RNAcentral's name for it is "partial large subunit ribosomal RNA". It matches the Rfam family "Bacterial large subunit ribosomal RNA", at positions 1810 to 2606 of the family's 2925-position model. The record is from RNAcentral. Lineage: Eukaryota; Metazoa; Annelida; Clitellata; Crassiclitellata; Megascolecidae.
AAAACAUUGCCCCAUGAAAACAAAUAUGGGGUAGUACCUGCCCAGUGAAACAAAUUCAACGGCCGCGGUAUCCUAACCGUGCAAAGGUAGCAUAGUCACUUGCCUAUUAAUUGUAGGCUAGAAUGAAAGGGUUAACGAAAUAAAGACUGUCUCAAUUAAUUACCUAAAAAUUAUUUUCUACUUGAAGAAAAGUAGAUAAACUCGAAGGACAAGAAGACCCUAUAGAGCUUAAUAUUAAUUAUAGAGCUAUACUAUAAAAAUAUUCGGUUGGGGCGACCCAGGGCUAAACAAUCACCCGCUACAUAAAAGAUAAAUUAAUCAAUUGACUGACCCUUCAAAGAUCACUAAACUAAGCUACCUUAGGGAUAACAGGCUAAUCCCACUCAAGAGUCCUUAUCAACAGUGGGGUUUGGCACCUCGAUGUUGGCUUAGGGUAUCUAUAUAGCGCAAAAGUUAUAUAAAGAUGGUUUGUUCAACCAGUAAUUCCCUACGUGAUCU